ACACAUGCAAGUCGAACGAGAGAGAGGGAGCUUGCUUCCUCAAUCGAGUGGCGAACGGGUGAGUAACGCGUGAGGAACCUGCCUCAAAGAGGGGGACAACAGUUGGAAACGACUGCUAAUACCGCAUAAGCCCACGGGUCGGCAUCGACCAGAGGGAAAAGGAGCAAUCCGCUUUGAGAUGGCCUCGCGUCCGAUUAGCUAGUUGGUGAGGUAAUGGCCCACCAAGGCAACGAUCGGUAGCCGGACUGAGAGGUUGAACGGCCACAUUGGGACUGAGACACGGCCCAGACUCCUACGGGAGGCAGCAGUGGGGAAUAUUGCACAAUGGGGGAAACCCUGAUGCAGCGACGCCGCGUGGAGGAAGAAGGUCUUCGGAUUGUAAACUCCUGUUGUUGAGGAAGAUAAUGACGGUACUCAACAAGGAAGUGACGGCUAACUACGUGCCAGCAGCCGCGGUAAAACGUAGGUCACAAGCGUUGUCCGGAAUUACUGGGUGUAAAGGGAGCGCAGGCGGGAAGACAAGUUGGAAGUGAAAUCUAUGGGCUCAACCCAUAAACUGCUUUCAAAACUGUUUUUCUUGAGUAGUGCAGAGGUAGGCGGAAUUCCCGGUGUAGCGGUGGAAUGCGUAGAUAUCGGGAGGAACACCAGUGGCGAAGGCGGCCUACUGGGCACCAACUGACGCUGAGGCUCGAAAGUGUGGGUAGCAAACAGGAUUAGAUACCCUGGUAGUCCACACCGUAAACGAUGAUUACUAGGUGUUGGAGGAUUGACCCCUUCAGUGCCGCAGUUAACACAAUAAGUAAUCCACCUGGGGAGUACGACCGCA
This 826-nucleotide ribosomal RNA is filed under the name uncultured bacterium. RNAcentral's name for it is "bacterial SSU rRNA". It matches the Rfam family "Bacterial small subunit ribosomal RNA", at positions 51 to 890 of the family's 1533-position model. The record is from RNAcentral.